UCCUGGUUAACCCAGGCAGUCUCGCUAGAGUUCCCAGCAUUACCUGUUGGCAACUAACGAUAAGGGUUGCGCUCGUUGCGGGACUUAACCCAACACCUCACGGCACGAGCUGACGACAGCCAUGCAGCACCUGUGCAGCGGCUCCGAAGAGCGUUACCAUCUCUGAUAACUUCCACUGCAUGUCAAGCCUGGGUAAGGUUCUUCGCGUUGCAUCGAAUUAAACCACAUGCUCCACUGCUUGUGCGGGUCCCCGUCAAUUCUUUUGAGUUUCACCCUUGCGAGCGUACUCCUCAGGCGGUAUACUUAUCGCGUUAGCUACGGCACAACCAGGGUUGAUUCCAGUUACACCAAGUAUACAUCGUUUACGGCAAGGACUAC
RNAcentral lists this unclassified non-coding RNA (378 nucleotides) under uncultured Parachlamydiaceae bacterium. Its description in RNAcentral is "contains 16S-23S intergenic spacer region". Lineage: Bacteria; Pseudomonadati; Chlamydiota; Chlamydiia; Parachlamydiales; Parachlamydiaceae. The record is from RNAcentral.